Molecule: non-coding RNA, 226 nt
Filed under: Clostridium botulinum
Lineage: Bacteria; Bacillati; Bacillota; Clostridia; Eubacteriales; Clostridiaceae
Description: T-box sequence
Rfam family: T-box leader
About the family: Uncharged tRNA acts as the effector for transcription antitermination of genes in the T-box leader family.
Source: RNAcentral
AUAAGUUCUGUGAAAAGAAGAGUACUAUAAUUAAUUCUUAAAGCGAGUAAGGGAUGGUGUAAGCCUUAUAAGAUAGAUUAAUAGGAAGAGAGUCUUGGAGAAAUCACCUGAAGUUAAGUAGGGAUGAUCGUAGUAACUUGCGUUAAAAGUUAAGUGGUAUCUUUAUGAUUUAAGUUAAAUUAUAAAGAUACAAUUAGAGUGGUACCGCGGAUAAUUCGUCUCUUAU